CACGUAGGGGACGAGCGUUGUCCGGAUUCAUUGGGCGUAAAGCGCGCGUAGGCGGCUCGGCAAGUCGGUCGUGAAAUGCCGGGGCUCAACCCCGGGACUGCGUCCGAUACUCCCGAGCUGGAGGCAGGUAGGGGAGAUCGGAAUUCCUGGUGUAGCGGUGAAAUGCGCAGAUAUCAGGAGGAACACCGGUGGCGAAGGCGCUCAUCUGGCCCAAUACUGACGCUGAGGCGCGAAAGCUAGGGGAGCAAACGGG
Molecule: ribosomal RNA, 253 nt
Filed under: uncultured bacterium
Lineage: Bacteria
Description: partial 16S ribosomal RNA
Rfam family: Bacterial small subunit ribosomal RNA
Source: RNAcentral